Molecule: ribosomal RNA, 210 nt
Filed under: uncultured eukaryote
Lineage: Eukaryota
Description: partial 18S ribosomal RNA
Rfam family: Eukaryotic small subunit ribosomal RNA
Source: RNAcentral
UGGUGGAGUGAUUUGUCUGCUUAAUUGCGUUAACGAACGAGACCUCAGCCUACUAAAUAGUUAUGCGAACCUUCUGCUUGGGUGACGGGGGUGGGGACAGUCGCUGCUUUCGGGCGGAGGCAUCCUGCCCCUAGAUCCUUGAUGCGUUCGUAGCAAUACUUCUUAGAGGGACAAUUGGUGUCAAGCCAAUGGAAGUUUGAGGCAACAACA